Molecule: long non-coding RNA, 4826 nt
Organism: Nicotiana tabacum (common tobacco)
Lineage: Eukaryota; Viridiplantae; Streptophyta; Magnoliopsida; Solanales; Solanaceae
Source: RefSeq, a predicted model, not a curated record
UUUCCAAUUCAGAAACAUUAGCAUCGUCUCACAACAAUCCCAUCCCCCAUUGAAGAUCCUUAACAGUAAAGUCAAGGUUAUGCAUCAUCAAAUUUAGGAAACUAAGAAUGAAGGAAUCCGUAAUCUUCCCACGUAGCCUCUUCAGGAGAAAGAUUAGCCCACUGUACCAGAACUUCUGUCACUGCCUUGUUCCUUUUCUUAACCUCCGAUCCAAAAUCGCCACCAGUUCCACGGGAAUUUGGCCCUCGUUAUUGCAAAUUGGAGGAUCAAUCAUAGCUACCACUUGAUUACCCACUUUCUUCUUCAAUUGCGAAACAUGAAACACCGGGUGAAUUUUUGAUCCGGGUGGCAACUUCAAUUUAUAUGCUAUUUGGCCAAUUUUUUCCAAAAUCUGAUAAGACCCGUAGUACUUUGAUGCUAACUUCAGAUUUUUCCGUCUUGCUACCGACGCCAGUCGAUAUAGUUGCAGUUUGAGGGGAGGAUCAUAGCGAUAAAGUGCCUUAAUAGCUGAGUGGUAAGUCGAGUUGUACCAGAAUUCCGCUAAGCUCAACCAUUUGCUCCAAUUCACAGGUUUAUGAACUGUCAUACAACGAAGGUGUUUGAAUGAGAGUUGGACCCAAAGCAGGCAUUUGAAAUCUAGAAGGUCAACCAAAAGAGGAUAUUGUGUUGUGUUGGUUCAGAGUUAGGGCUGGUCUGGAUGUGAAAUAAAUGGGUUGAUAUGAAGGAAGAGAAAUGGGUAAAACCAUUGAAGUAGGCAUGGUGUUGGUAUAAGAAACAGGGGUGGUGUGGAGACUAGUAGGCAUAAUGGAAUUGUUAACACUGUUAGUGUUAACAGGUGUAGUAUUCAUAGAAUUAAAAUAAAAAGAAGUAGUAGAAAGUUGGUAAUACUUGGAUAAAAAGAGGGUGGUGGUGGUAAUAUGGUAGUAUUUUGAGGAUUGAAGGGAGCUGGAGUAAAUUUCAUAGCCCUACCAGCUUGGGGAAAUGAAAUAUUAGUGGUUGAAGGAGUAAAUGAAGAAGCAGAAGAGCAAAGAUUACACCCCACAGAAGACUCACCCAUUUUUGAAGAUGAACCACCUUGUAACAACAAGGCAUGUGCCAGAGUAUUGAUGAAAGACUCAGCUUGUCGUUCCCACUCGAGUUGUGAUAACAAAAGUUCGAUCUUCUAGUUACUUUCCUCUUCUCUUCGAGCAACUUCGGCAUCACAUCGAACUUGAAGCUCCUCCAUUUGAGCUACUCUUUUCUGUGUAUCUAACAUAUAGGCCUUCAUCUACGAUUCAAACUUCUUCCAAUCGUUAGCAUCCUCAGAUGCUUUACCUUGUUGUUUGUCCACCAUCACUGGAACAGGACGUCGGAACGUUACCGCUCUGAUACCAAUAUAUAACAACGACUAUUGACGAAAAGAAUAAAAUCAAAGAAGAAGACAAAUAAGAAGAAAAUAUAAGGAUUGUUUCAUUCAGCAUAAUAUUCCAAAUGGAAUUACGCAGAGAUAAAUAAGACAAGAUUCUUUAACAACCUAGACAUAUGGCAAAUAAAGCAGUGGCCACUUGGAGGGACGGAAAACUAAAUAAUAAAGGACUCUAUUGACAUAAACUAAACUUAAGACCUAAUUUGCAAAAUAUCAUAAAGAGAUUCUAAGGCUUCAGACUAUUUCUAAUUCACAAACAUUACUAUCGUCUCACAACAUCUUUUGGUCGUGGCCACAUGGGUGGAUGAUACCCUUCUUUAAUUUUUACCUUUGUUUCCACUCAGGUUCGGAUAUCCGCAUCGGAGUUUUAAUUAAUUUAGGUUCAUGCUACGUAAGACAUAUUAAAGUGAGAAUACUCCUGAUCAGGAUUUGAUCUAUUAUAUGAUUUGAAGCUAGAGUCUCUCUAUGCUCAGCCACCAAAUUGUAGCGUCUCAAACCAAAAUCUAGAUCAUGAAGCUCGCUUCUCUCACCUCACAAUCAUGGCGUCUUCUUAGUUUGUACAAGAAAAAAAUCCCAAUAUUAAAGUGAAAUGGUGAAAGUCCGUUGUAUUGAAUCAAACUGUUUACCCUAAAAAAUGAUAACAAUUGAUUUUUUAUGUGGUUUGAAGGAUAUGCGGGUUAAUUCGAUACAAAUAAUAUAUUGUGUUAGAUUAAACAGAUAAAAGACGUAAUAGAUUAUCAAACCACUUAACGGGGUGAUUUCGGACUUCAAUGAUAACCUUAAUGAAUUGCAUGUCCUCGAUCCCGGACUUACAAUAACUAAGCACUGAUGAACAAGAAUAAGAGCUUUGAAUAACAGAGUAAAUAAAAGUAUAUUGCCUUGAUGUACGUAUUACAGUGUGUUGAAUGAACAGUCAAGUUCUACUUUAAGUACAAUUCUAUAAAAGGUAAAAAUCUCUCGUUUAACCAAUCGCUGGAUUUCUGCCGAUAUGUGUCGAGAUCCACGCCGUGAUAUCCGGCUGGUCAUAGAUAUCGCAACUUUUUGUUGUCCAUUCUUGAUUGCCUGACUAUGCUCUUUGAGGCCUUUAGGAUUCGGAUCAGACCAAGUUCAUGACGAGAAAUGACAUGAGCACUUCGAUUCCUUCUUCAAUACACCAUAACAGAAAUGUCCCUUCAGUCCCGUCAUAAUGACUUAAAAUGCGUGUCCACCAUUGGCAGGUCAUCCCUGUGCACGAAACGGUGCAAAGCCCUUGUAAAUACUCCUUCCUUCAUUCAUUUUUACCUCUUGACCAAGAUUCUACCUUCGAACCAUUAGAAUACUACUGCCUUCCCUCAUAGUCCAACAUUUUACCUUCGUUCAUCAAGAUUUCUCAACAAAUUGCAAGUUUUUAUUUAUUUUUUACCCAAAUCGUCGCACUUGACUCUCUCAGCAAAGCUCUUACCCAACCAUUCUUCACAUUUUCUAAACCUUUUCCUAUAUAACAAUGGCAAAAAUAUCCAAAUUUGUUCCCUAAAAAGUUGCUUCAUCCUCUUCGCAGCCGACCACCGAAGCCGAGGCGCCCUCUCCUGAUGUGGUUGUCCUCUAGAGGAACGUUUCGGGCGCAGUGAUCAAUGAACCGGCUGCCGAGCCUCCCUUGAAAAUGUUUAUCCUUGGGGGUGUUCGAUCGUGGAUGAUUUUAAGGUUGAAAAGCCCUCAUCGGUGCAAGGCCGAUGCGAGGCGCUAUCUAGGUACAUCUGCUCCAUCACCAAAGCCAUCCUCCCUGUGGUUCGAAAGGACACUGGCUAGGCAAAUAAGACAUAGUCAUCCCCGGGCCUGAUAGCGACAUUACUACCCAUGUGGAGAGAUAUUUUAGUGUCUACACUUAUCCCUUCAUACUAGUCUUGGGGGACCUGAUUAUUCUGGAAUUCUGUGGGAGGUAUGAAGUAAGUAUCGGUCAGAUCCACCCAUCGAUGUGGAGGAUCGUAAUCCUCCUUUAAUUCUUUGUGAACAAAAUUGACUCUUGUUUUUUCACCAUCGAUCAUCUACUCUACCUGUACAGUCCCUGAAUUUUCCGGGGGGGAAUGAUAAAGCUCAUAUGCUGGGCUAGCAAAGCCCCAUUUUCAAGCAUCGACGAGGACCGAGGCUAGCAUGGACGCUUUGUCUGGGUGAGGACCACAGAUUUGAUCCUUGCCAAAUUUAGGCCAUUCCUCUAGAAGUGGAAUGUAUCAUCCCAUGCUUGAGUCCCAAACGCGGCUCAAGGAGUGGAUCAAGGGCAUUUUCUCACAGAUGACCUAUUCUGAGCGUUCAUAGCAUGAUCUCUCGCAGGGCUGUUGGGAGGCCCUUUCUCAUGGUAAGAUCUCUUUCCAGGAUAAGUAUCAUUAGGCUUCCCUCCCCAAGUGCAGAUCCCGGCCAUAAGCGGUCAAUAAUCAUCAUCGUCCCGGAGGAUGCAUAGGUUUUUUCCCGCCCUGUUGGAAUAGCGAGAUAUCUCCAGUUCCUAGUAACCAAAGAAGACCAGGCGAAGAUGAACGAUGUGGGAGUUCCAUGUCUGUUCAAAGAAGCGCAGCAGGCGCUGAAUCGGGCCUCGGUUCUUCACCAUGAAAGUUUUCUUAGGUACCGGGCUGAGAUUAACCUCGAGGCCAAGGUCAGGGAGCUCGCCAAGAAUAGGACUCGUAUAAUCUUCUUAGCGAGUAACACGAAGAAACUGUCACGAGCCUUCAGGAUGAGUUAGAUGCGGCUCAGAAGGGGCAUGCCGACCUGGUGGAACAGGUCUAGCAGAAGGUUGACAGGGUCAACCAACUCCAAGACGAGAUGAACGAGGUCAAGGCCAUGGCCGAAGAGUGGAAAGGAAAAAUGGGCCGACUGGCUUCGAAAAAAACCGCCUGGGAGCAACUAGCAUCGGCAGAGGUCCAACUCUGAAUGGCGAAGGAGAAUGCUCAAGCACGGGCCUGACAAAUCGAAGAACUUCUGUCUCAACUGGGCUCGGGCAUUGCUGAAUAGGAUGCCCUUGGAAAGGAGCUCGAAAUAGCAAGGUCUGUGUCAGAAAUAACCAGGGCUGAUGUUGAAGAAAUCGUGGACUAGUACAAGGCCAAUGCCGAGGCAGCUCAGGACCACCUGAAACUUACUGUUGAAUAUGUGAAGUGGCAGUCCAUAAGGGAGGCUCUCGAGGAGGUCCACGCCCGGGGUGUCGACCUCUCGACCGAGAUCGAAGAUGCGAGAAGGAUCGAGGACGAGGCCAAGAAGCUGGCUGACCCCGAGGGUGACGGAUGCUCUAUGGGCUCCGGCAAACCCAAGGAUGGAGAAGACUUUGCCGGCUCCGGUGAUGAGGCGGGUCCUGGUGAAGAUCGGGACUAGGUGCCUUAGGGAUUUUUCUUUGUUUUUGCAUUUUGUUCAUUUUGUUGCGGCCGUUAUCAUUAACCUUUAUAAUGACUUUUAUUGGAAUGUA